CCCAAGGAAGAAGCCAUGCAUGCCCGCUCACUCCGGGACGCGGCGGACGGCUCAGGACAACGGUUGCACCCCCCGCGGCGGUCCCUGCUAGCCGGACACCGCUGGCAACCCGGCGCCAAGACGUGCGCGCAAGGGCGGGCGCCCGCGGGCGAGCAGCGUGACGCAGCGACGGCCCGCCCGGGCUUCCGGGGCAUCAUCCGGUCGAUCCU
Molecule: ribosomal RNA, 209 nt
Filed under: Giardia duodenalis
Lineage: Eukaryota; Fornicata; Diplomonadida; Hexamitidae
Description: Giardia intestinalis partial small subunit ribosomal RNA
Source: RNAcentral